GAACAUCGAUAAUCGCCCCCAGUCGUUGCUGCUCCCCACCCACCCUCUCAACCGUGUUGCUGAGUUACAUGGCACAUGUAUACCUCCUCGAUGUGAGUUACCUCGCACCCUUUGAGGCGUGCUUGCCGCGGGGUUUGUCUGAGCCGCCGCUCUCGUGGCGGUGUGCGGCGGAGCUGGCUCAAUGGACGUCCGUAGCGGCGGUUGGGAACGCUUGGGUAGCGGCGUGUGCAGAGGCAACAGCGGCCACGACGGUGACAGGAGUGUCGGCGCACGAAACGCCUGUUAACUCUGGCGUCGCAUCGUGUAAGCCAGGCAGGGAAGGCUACAUGCGACUCAGCGAUGACGAUGACGGUGAUCAGGCUGAGGCUGCCGCACCGUCCACCGUCAUCCCAAUGGAAGUCGUCGCGCCAAGCCGCCACAUGUACGUCAUCCACACCUUCCCCUCCGCAGUUCUUAUCCAAAACAAGUACUUCAGCACAACGCUGACCCUCGUGACGGGGGCGCCGCUGCGGCCUCUCUCGUGCAACGGGCAUGAUCGUGCCUCUCCGUCGGAUCAGCGCGACAUCACGGCUGAUCUCCUGCGCAAGUGUGCUAGUGGCCAGAGUGGCAGCGGCGCACCCGUCUCUCAUGUCGACGAUGGCGCUAGCUACGGUGGAGUUCUACUUGCGCACAUUACGCAAGAUCCAGCGGGCGUUCCGUGGCACGCCUUUCCACUAAGCGGGUGUCUCUUCCAUGUCAUCAUGGUUUUUCACAACAGCGAAACAGACGUGGACAUGAGCGAAGUAGCAGCAGCGGCGCCAGAGUCCCUGGCCGCCAUGAAGGCCCGACGGAGCAGACAGGACGCCGACGUGUUCUGCCGUCCUCUCAAAGAUGCCACCAUGCGCACGGCUGACACUCUUGACGAUGCGCCGACGUCGCUGCUGCAGCUGAAGGAGCGCUGGAAGUGCUUCGCAGCGGAGAAUGGAUACGAGUGCAUCUUUCAUGCCACGGGAUGUCCUCAACGUGCGGCGACACAUACGGCGGCCUCCAUGAAGAGCGGCGGGCGUGCACUUGGCGGCUCAGCGAAAGACGUUCAGCUGGAGUGCGUUAGCGCCGAUUCUGGCCGUCGCGGCUUGCUUGAAGCCCCACUUGCUGGGUCGAGUCGGCUCUACCAGAUCCUGUGCAAUACGCUGUGGCCAGCUGGCGUCCGUCGUGCAGCUGCCGUGGCGUCAGGUGCACGGAGCGACGGCCACGGUGAGCAGGAGAACAACGCCGUCACGCAGGCACCAAAGCCACUGAAGCCGCACUCUGGGAACGCGUUUGUCGUGGUGGGCAACGACGAAGAUGCGAUGUGGCGUCUCUUCCAGCAGCAAGAUUACGGGUGCGCGCAUGUGCUGCAGCGUCGUUUUCGCUUCUUCACCUCCGUCGUCAGCUUGCCUGCUGACCCUGCCGCCCCGACUGAGGGACCGCGAAUGGCCGAGGGUAAGCUCGGCGCCGCUGCGGCACGACGCACCCGCGUCGCUCUUGUGAACCAGUACUACGCGGCAGUAGUGCAGCCGCGGCUGGUGCAGACCGCCUUCUUUGACGCCCGCAUGCAGGAGCUGCUGGACCGAUACUGGGAGCAGCACAUGAUAGCUGAGGGCGGUAGUGAUGGCCUCUGCCCCGAUGCGCCGGCGGUGGUUUUGUGGCCGCCAAGCUCUUCGGCGUCAUGCGCUGCCCGUUCUGAGAACGAGACUCGGGGCGCGGCAGCCAUCCCUGUCGACGCCGACGGCGAAGACGUGCGGGCUUCGUAUCCGCCGCUGGAGGUCGUUCUCGACUCUCUUGAACGUCGUGGCUGCUGCGAUGUCGUGGUCGUGGUGAGCAAGCGCAGAGGCGGCGCCGUUCCCAGCGGGCUCACAGAGUACGAGGCACUGCUGUGUAGGGAGCGGAACGUCGAGGUGGUGCAGCCGGAGCCAGCGCGCUUCAAGGCAGCAUCGGUUGGCGCGAUGGAGACGAGCGUCGCCGAUCUGCCAAUGCCUGUAAUUCGAGACGAGGACGACACACAGGCCACACGCGGGGCGGACCGGCUGCACGAGCUGCUGCACUGUGUGCAGUGGGGGCAGACGCACCUCGUCAAGCGCGCAGCUUCCCUGGGAACGUGCCUCGCGGACCGCGGCAGUAACUCAUGUCUUUUACUGGCCUGCGGGCAGACUCCGUUCGAGGAAGAGGCGUGGGUGCGCGACGUACUCGCAGCCUUAAACGCGGCACCGUCUAGUACACGCAGCAAGAGCGCAACUGCAUCUGCCGAAGAUUACCUGCGUCUCGCUGCCCCUACCAUUGCAGCGGCUCUUGGGGCUGAACACGGUGACGACAGUGCGGACCUCGGAGAACACCCAACCAGGGCAGCUGUUGGGGUCGACGUCUCCACACCAUACUUCAAUGCGCGUGUUGAGGUGCAGGUAGAGGGUGGUCUACACUCAUACUACGCGGCGCCACCGACGCAACGCUCGGGUACGCGGGCAAUGCCGCCCGGGUGGGAAAACGCACACGAUGCCUAUGUGGUCGUUACAACCCUGUGCGCUCUCCAAGAAGCGGUGCGCGCGAUCGCCGGGCCCGCUCGGCAUGCGGCGGUCGACAAUCCCAGCAGCCGCGAGGCUGUCAGUGGAUCGCACAGCACCCUGGGCACGGUUAUCAGCACCCUUGCUCGGCGGCAGAGAGAGAUAUGGAUGGCGGAGCAGAUCAACGCCUGCGUGGCGCACCAGACUAGCCAGAAGGCGUCCAACGCGGCCGCUGACUCACCGCUUGUCCUGCUGUACAUCGCGGACGUACCGGCAGCGGAUGCGAUGCGUGCGGAGCUGGUGGAGCAGCUGGUCUGUGCGCUGGCACGCCCCACCGCAGCGCCUGCUGCAGCUUCGCUGGGCGAGAACGGCAGCGACAGCGCCGAAGAUGCCGAUGGCUACGUGCCCAUCGAGUUGGUGUUUGCGAGUGAGCCUGUGGGCGUGACAGCUGUCGCCGCUACGACAGGCCACUACGACGGUUUCGUUCUGGACGGCACCGCGCGUGUGCGCGAAGCGUUUGAGCAGCAUCUGUGGCCGCAUCGGCAGUCCCUGUCACACCAACACCACCGUGUCAGCAACAUCCGUCCCACCACCCAUGCUAGAGAGGAAGCUGCAAGUCCGCGGGGCUCCGUCGAGGCUGCCGGCGCGACCACUGCUGACUUUUUUGCCAACGAAGUAACUUGUGCGACGCCUCCUCCGGUGGAAGCAGCAGCAGUGCCUGCCACCACAAGAGCGAGCGCUGCAGUACCCAGAGAAACGGUGACGGUUGAUGCCUCAUGGGUGGCACCGGUCAUCGGCUGUGCGCUACCGAACGGCUACCUUGUCGACCCCGAGACACUGCGGAGCGUACCGGUGAGGGUUGUGCGAGACGCCCCAUGGAAUACAGCGAAGAUCGCAGACGUCGAAGGCAGACAGGGUCAUGGUGAGGCAUCAGCUCAGCAUCACGAGCCUCUGCCACAAGCCCACAAUGAUGAGGAGCUCAUGCAGUGGAUGGAGAAGAUGAAGCGCUACGGUCACCGCCUCGGCGAGGCACUGCGCAAAGAGCAGGCGGAAGUGCUUGCCCUUGCGCUUGAGAAGAUGCUGUAGCGCACGCGUUGAUGCACCGCGCCUUUUCCUCUUACUAGCGCGCGGAGGCGCGCGCACACAC
Molecule: unclassified non-coding RNA, 3663 nt
Filed under: Leishmania donovani
Lineage: Eukaryota; Euglenozoa; Kinetoplastea; Trypanosomatida; Trypanosomatidae
Description: gene:LdHU3.24.1420(CDS-product:hypothetical_prote in_conserved)
Source: RNAcentral